Mangifera indica (mango) is the source of this 1814-nucleotide long non-coding RNA. RefSeq lists it as uncharacterized. The transcript has 3 exons. The record is from RefSeq and is a predicted model, not a curated record. Lineage: Eukaryota; Viridiplantae; Streptophyta; Magnoliopsida; Sapindales; Anacardiaceae.
AAACGCCAUGAAACUCAAAAUCUAGUACGGGGAUUUUCCUUAUUUUUUGAAAUUAACAACAAAACUAAUGUAUCCCAACUUUGAUUUCUGAAAACUCAGAUCUCAGAAGCCUCCAAAAGGGCAUGACAACAAACUCAACCUCCUGCCGCCGUCGCCACCGAAACCCACUGCCACCGUCAGGUUUUCUACACAUUUGAUAUAUGCCUGUUACAGCGCAUUUCGUUGAGGCUCAUGGGCGUUACAAAGUCAAAUCAUGAGGUAUUGUCUUGAAGUCUGAAAUGGUUUGCAAUGACUUUGUUCAACUUUUGGUUUAUAUCGAAAAUUGUCUUUUUUAACUAUUGAUAGUUGUUCCAUCAAAGAUGCCAUGAUGCCAAUGUUGUAAAUUUAUUGUUGAUUUGAAUGUCAUGGGUGGAAAAUUCUUUCAUAUACAGUGUUGUGCUCAAAUAUUAGAUUUGAUAAUGAAGGAUGGGAUGGAUGUGAAUGAGCAAGAUGUUGAGAAGAGUUGGGGCAGUACUACCAUUUUGAGAUCAACACCAAACAAGAUUGAAAAUUUUGAGAGCAUUGCACAUCACUUGAACUUUGCAUAUAGUAAGAAAUUAAUGAUUGAUUGUAGAAGUAGAUGGAGUAUAGCAUAUUUGAUGCUUAGUAUUGCUUUUGAAUAUUAAGAUGUUUUUUAUGUACUAAAAAUGUGAGAUGAACAAUAUGAAUGUUUACCUAGGAAGUCAAAGUGGAAGAUGGCAAAAGCAAUUUGCGAACUUUGGAAGUGUUUAAUGAUUUGAUAUACAUGUUUUCAGAGACCAAACAUAUGACAUCUGACUUGUUUUUACUAAUGAUUUUUUGUAUUAUAUUGUUGAUGAAUAAGUGGCUCAAAUUUUCUUAUGAUGAUAUAAAAUGUAGGGCUACCAAAACAAUGACAAGUUUGAAACGUACUGGGAAGUUGUUUAUGGAGUUAUAACCAUGACUAUUAUGUUAGAUCCUAGGUUUGAAAUGCGGUUUAUUGAGUUUAUGUUAUCUAAAAUUUAUACAGAUGAUUCAUAAGGAUCAAGGUUACACAACUUUUAUUCUGAUUUUCAACAGAAGACUAAAUUUGGAGCAGACUAAUUUAAAAGAUGUGUUCAUUCCAUUACUGUAAAUGUUGCAAAAUUUUAGGAAGAAUAUGCCUUGUUUUUGGUGGAUAAAUAUAAUCAUGAGAGGCAACUGAAGUUAGAGUUGGAUAGUUACUUAGAUAAUCCUUUAGAUGAUACUGAGGACUUCGAUAUUUUGACUUGGUGGAAGGCACGCCUGUAUACAUAUCCUCUGUCGUCUCUGAUUGCUAGAGACAUGUUGGCUAUUCCAUAUCCUCAAAGCCGCAUCUCAGUCUCCUUUAAGUAAUGGCAAUGGACUUUUAAGUCCACAUCAUAGUAGACUUCAGCCAGACAUACUGGAGGCUGUAACGUAUACUCAAAAUUGGUUUUGGCUUCAACACCAUGUCAUAUUCUGGAUAAUCAAAUCCCUUCUGGGAUAGAAGUUGAACAUGAUGGACAUCAGAUUGAGUUGAUGCUGUAAUACUCCUGAACUCCUAUAUUGAUCUUUAAUUUUCAUUUUGAUGUGGCGCUUAUUUCUACAAACACUUUGUGGAUAUGGAAGUAGUUUAUGUCGCUAGUUUACUGUUUUAAGAUAAUAUAUUUUAAUAUGUUUGGUGUAAUUUUGUGUUUAUUUUCACAGGCUAUUUCUAGUUCUUGUGCUUACUGAGGCAGGUUUUGACAAGAAAGCUUCAGCUUUCAUCUCAUAAUUCCAUGAAAGUGAUGUCUCUGAAAUCUGAACUUCAUCUAUAA